Molecule: microRNA precursor, 118 nt
Filed under: Olea europaea subsp. europaea
Lineage: Eukaryota; Viridiplantae; Streptophyta; Magnoliopsida; Lamiales; Oleaceae
Source: RNAcentral
GGAUUCAAUUAGAAAAUCACCUCAAAAGUCGUCCAAAAAAUCUGAAAAUCUUACCAAAUUUUUAGAUUUUUUUUUCAGAUUUUUUGGACGACUUUUGCGGCGAUUUUUCGAUGACUUC